RNAcentral lists this small RNA (977 nucleotides) under uncultured Actinomycetales bacterium. RNAcentral describes it as "bacterial SSU rRNA". The stretch from base 1 to 488 matches the Rfam family "Bacterial small subunit ribosomal RNA", at positions 1048 to 1533 of the family's 1533-position model. The record is from RNAcentral. Lineage: Bacteria; Bacillati; Actinomycetota; Actinomycetes; Actinomycetales.
GCUGUCGUCAGCUCGUGUCGUGAGAUGUUGGGUUAAGUCCCGCAACGAGCGCAACCCUCGUUCUAUGUUGCCAGCACGUAGUGGUGGGGACUCAUAGGAGACUGCCGGGGUCAACUCGGAGGAAGGUGGGGAUGACGUCAAAUCAUCAUGCCCCUUAUGUCUUGGGCUUCACGCAUGCUACAAUGGCCAGUACAAAGGGCUGCGAGACCGCAAGGUGGAGCGAAUCUCAAAAAGCCGGUCUCAGUUCGGAUCGCAGUCUGCAACUCGACUGCGUGAAGUCGGAGUCGCUAGUAAUCGCAGAUCAGCAUUGCUGCGGUGAAUACGUUCCCGGGCCUUGUACACACCGCCCGUCACACCACGAAAGUUGGUAACACCCGAAGCCGGUGGCCCAACCCUCUGGGAGGGAGCCGUCGAAGGUGGGAUCAGCGAUUGGGGUGAAGUCGUAACAAGGUAGCCGUACCGGAAGGUGCGGCUGGAUCACCUCCUUUCUAAGGAGCACACUGCUCGGCCUCGUGUUCGUCUCGAGGUCGGGGAGCUCCCACGUCGAUCACUGGUUAGUUGGCAGUCCGGAACCAUUCCGACCCCUCCACUCCGCUUGCGGAGCGAGCAGGCACCACCGGAACCCGGAUCGCUUGACGUCACUCUUCCGUUUUGAGGGAGCGACCCUCGCAGGACCUCGUGUCCUGAUGGGAAGUGCGCUCGAACUUGUCGCCGGUAGCCGCGCAUGCGGCGCCGGCGAUGACCGCGAGCGCUCCCGGGACCACUGGUCCCGCAUGGCCCUUGAGAACUGCAGAGCGAGCACGAGCAUCUAUUUACUUAGAGAUAUGUGAACAGAAGAAACGAACUCCCAAGCUACAAAGAGCCAACGGUGGAUGCCUUGGCGCCAGAUGCCGAUGAAGGACGUGGACGGCUGCGAUAAGCCACGGGGAGCUGCCUAUCAAGCUUCGAUCCGUGGAUCUCCGAAUGGGGAAACCCGG